Molecule: ribosomal RNA, 663 nt
Filed under: uncultured Dolichospermum sp.
Lineage: Bacteria; Bacillati; Cyanobacteriota; Cyanophyceae; Nostocales; Aphanizomenonaceae
Description: bacterial SSU rRNA
Rfam family: Bacterial small subunit ribosomal RNA
Source: RNAcentral
CGGACGGGUGAGUAACGCGUAAGAAUCUACCUUCAGGUUCGGGACAACCACUGGAAACGGUGGCUAAUACCGAAUGUGCCGAGAGGUGAAAGGCUUGCUGCCUGAAGAAGAGCUUGCGUCUGAUUAGCUAGUAGGUGUGGUAAGGGCGCACCUAGGCGACGAUCAGUAGCUGGUCUGAGAGGAUGAUCAGCCACACUGGGACUGAGACACGGCCCAGACUCCUACGGGAGGCAGCAGUGGGGAAUUUUCCGCAAUGGGCGAAAGCCUGACGGAGCAAUACCGCGUGAGGGAGGAAGGCUCUUGGGUUGUAAACCUCUUUUCUCAGGGAAGAAAAAAAUGACGGUACCUGAGGAAUAAGCAUCGGCUAACUCCGUGCCAGCAGCCGCGGUAAUACGGAGGAUGCAAGCGUUAUCCGGAAUGAUUGGGCGUAAAGGGUCCGCAGGUGGCAUUGUAAGUCUGCUGUUAAAGAGUCACGCUCAACGUGAUAAAGGCGGUGGAAACUACAAAGCUAGAGUGUGGUCGGGGCAGAAGGAAUUCCUGGUGUAGCGGUAAAAUGCGUAGAUAUCAGGAAGAACACCGGUGGCGAAGGCGUUCUGCUAGGCCAAUACUGACACUGAGGGACGAAAGCUAGGGGAGCGAAUGGGAUUAGAUACCCCAGUAGUC